UAUAUAAAUGAUUUAAAUAUAUUUUAAAGUGAAUAUUUGUUUAAUGUCUCGUGGAUGAUCUCUAGGUGGUUUUGAGAAUCAGGAUUUCGAUGAAGGCUUGGAACAGAUCCUUGAAGAGUUAUUUGAUGAGGGCGUGUUGUUUGCCUGUGAUGAACCCGGAGCUGUUAAUAACGGUUGAACUUCCGGUAACCUUGUGAUGGAUGGGCUGAACUUUCCGAAGUUAACCUAGUCAUGGGUUAACCUAUGACCC
This is a long non-coding RNA of Carassius carassius (crucian carp), 250 nucleotides long. RefSeq lists it as uncharacterized. The record is from RefSeq and is a predicted model, not a curated record. The transcript is spliced from 3 exons. NCBI's taxonomy places the organism in Eukaryota, Metazoa, Chordata, Actinopteri, Cypriniformes, Cyprinidae.